AUAAUGUAUUCUCUAAAUAAUGAAUUGAUUAAACCACCGAGCAACUACUUUGCCAAUCUCUUGAGUUAAGUGAUAGGUCUUUACAUGCGAAUCAGAGGCCCUACCGUGAAAACCGAAACUUGAAAUUUCGUUAU
Molecule: long non-coding RNA, 134 nt
Organism: Cydia splendana
Lineage: Eukaryota; Metazoa; Arthropoda; Insecta; Lepidoptera; Tortricidae
Exons: 2
Source: RefSeq, a predicted model, not a curated record